Molecule: small nuclear RNA, 104 nt
Organism: Suncus etruscus (white-toothed pygmy shrew)
Lineage: Eukaryota; Metazoa; Chordata; Mammalia; Eulipotyphla; Soricidae
Source: RefSeq, a predicted model, not a curated record
GUGCUUGCUUUGGCAGCACAUAUACUAAAACGGGAACAAUACAGAGAUUCCCAUGGCCCCUGCGCAAGGAUGACAUGCAAAUUCGUGAAGCGUUCCAUGUUUUU